This is a ribosomal RNA of Bison bison bison, 119 nucleotides long. The record is from Ensembl. NCBI's taxonomy places the organism in Eukaryota, Metazoa, Chordata, Mammalia, Artiodactyla, Bovidae.
AACUAUGGCCAUACCACCCUGAACAUGCCAGAUGGCAUCUGAUCUCAGAAGCUAAGAAGGGUCGGGCCUGAUUAAUACUUGGAUGGGAGACCACCUGGGAAUACCUGGUGCUAUAGGCU